UGGUGCAGGUGUCAUGAUGGUAACAUGGUGCAGGUGUCAUGAUGGUAACAUGGUGCAGGUGUCAUGAUGGUAACAUGGUGCAGGUGUCAUGAUGGUAACAUGGUGCAGGUGUCAUGAUGGUAACAUGGUGCAGGUGUCAUGAUGGUAACAUGGUGCAGGUGUCAUGAUGGUAACAUGGUGCAGGUGUCAUGAUGGUAACAUGGUGCAGGUGUCAUGAUGGUAACAUGGUGCAGGUGUCAUGAUGGUAACAUGGUGCAGGUGUCAUGAUGGUAACAUGGUGCAGGUGUCAUGAUGGUAACAUGGUGCAGGUGUCAUGAUGGUAACAUGGUGCAGGUGUCAUGAUGGUAACAUGGUGCAGGUGUCAUGAUGGUAACAUGGUGCAGGUGUCAUGAUGGUAACAUGGUGCAGGUGUCAUGAUGGUAACAUGGUGCAGGUGUCAUGAUGGUAACAUGGUGCAGGUGUCAUGAUGGUAACAUGGUGCAGGUGUCAUGAUGGUAACAUGGUGCAGGUGUCAUGAUGGUAACAUGGUGCAGGUGUCAUGAUGGUAACAUGGUGCAGGUGUCAUGAUGGUAACAUGGUGCAGGUGUCAUGAUGGUAACAUGGUGCAGGUGUCAUGAUGGUAACAUGGUGCAGGUGUCAUGAUGGUAACAUGGUGCAGGUGUCAUGAUGGUAACAUGGUGCAGGUGUCAUGAUGGUAACAUGGUGCAGGUGUCAUGAUGGUAACAUGGUGCAGGUGUCAUGAUGGUAACAUGGUGCAGGUGUCAUGAUGGUAACAUGGUGCAGGUGUCAUGAUGGUAACAUGGUGCAGGUGUCAUGAUGGUAACAUGGUGCAGGUGUCAUGAUGGUAACAUGGUGCAGGUGUCAUGAUGGUAACAUGGUGCAGGAAUUGUGACUAACUUAACCGUUCAACAACUGUUAUGUCUCAACCAUUGUCUGACCCUUUUAUUGUGUGUUCUUUCAGUGCCCAAACCUGUUUGUGUCCACAACAAUACUGAAUACACGCUUGGUGAAAAUGUUCCCAACGGCACCUGUGAGGAGUGCAAGUGUGGUCCUAAAAAGGAUCCAGUCUCCAAGCUGUAUGUUGUUGAGUGUGCCCAAAUCAACUGUGACACCACCUGCCCAACGGGUUAUGAGUAUGAAGUCAUACCUGAGAAAUGUUGUGGAACGUGUGUACAGAAGGACUGUGUUGUCGGUCUCCCAGAUGCCACAUCUCACAUCAUUCAGGUGACAUUGAUGAGAUAAUGCACCCAAAUUAGAUUAUUUUUAACAUCAGAUAUCUUUGUGAAAUGUCA
Long non-coding RNA from Oncorhynchus keta (chum salmon), 1292 nucleotides. RefSeq lists it as uncharacterized. The transcript has 3 exons. The record is from RefSeq and is a predicted model, not a curated record. NCBI's taxonomy places the organism in Eukaryota, Metazoa, Chordata, Actinopteri, Salmoniformes, Salmonidae.